UACGGGAGGCAGCAGUAGGGAAUCUUUCACAAUGGGCGAAAGCCUGAUGGAGCAACGCCGCGUGCAGGAUGACGGCCUUCGGGUUGUAAACUGCUUUUAUAAGCGAGAAAUAUGAUGGUAACUUAUGAAUAAGCCCCGGCUAACUACGUGCCAGCAGCCGCGGUAAU
This 167-nucleotide ribosomal RNA is filed under the name uncultured rumen bacterium. Its description in RNAcentral is "partial 16S ribosomal RNA". It matches the Rfam family "Bacterial small subunit ribosomal RNA", at positions 340 to 524 of the family's 1533-position model. The record is from RNAcentral.